AACAGCGAGUGAAGCGGGAAGAGCUCAAAUUUGAAAUCUUCAAGGUUUUACCUUGACGAAUUGUAGUUUAAAGAAGUGUUUUCUGUUGAAGUUUUGGUAAAAGUUCUUUGGAAUAGGACAUCAUAGAGGGUGAGAAUCCCGUAUUUGACCAUUAUUUUCAGCUGUGUGAUACACUUUCAAAGAGUCGGAUUGUUUGGGAAUGCAGUCCAAAAUGGGUGGUAAAUUUCAUCUAAAGCUAAAUAUUGGCGAGAGACCGAUAGCGAACAAGUACCGUGAGGGAAAGAUGAAAAGAACUUUGAAAAGAGAGUUAAACAGUACGUGAAAUUGUCAAAAGGGAAGCGUUUGACACCAGUGUUGUUUUCUCGAAAAUCAAUUAAAAAGAGUUGGAUUUUGUGUUGUAUUGACCUUAACAGCUUUCUGCACUCUUUUCCUGCUUUUUUUAAUGCACUUUUCGUUUAACAAGUCAACAUCAGUUUCUUUUGUUGUAAAAGGGUCAUUGGAAGGUGGCUUUCUUUUCGGAGAAAGUGUUUAUAGCCUUUGAUCUCUGCAAUCGGAGAGACUGAGGUCUGCAGCGUAGAUCCUUCGGGGUUAGAUACAUUUGUGCUAAGUUAUAACUUUUCAUAGACAACUUGUUGACUAUGUUUAGUCAUGUAGCUUACUCGCUUAUGCUAUUUUACCUAC
RNAcentral lists this ribosomal RNA (681 nucleotides) under Piromyces sp. RNAcentral's name for it is "partial large subunit ribosomal RNA". It matches the Rfam family "Eukaryotic large subunit ribosomal RNA", at positions 85 to 616 of the family's 3401-position model. The record is from RNAcentral. Lineage: Eukaryota; Fungi; Neocallimastigomycota; Neocallimastigomycetes; Neocallimastigales; Neocallimastigaceae.